GGGGGCGUCACGGUUUCGACGGGGAUAGUUGAAGCUCGUCGCCGCGUACCGAGGUUCCUACCGACCUCGUAAAAAGGUAGGAAAAAAGUAAUCGCCAACGAUUACGAAUACGCCCUAGCCGCAUAAGACGGCUGGCGUCCUCCCGAUUUUGCCUGUCGAAUCGGGUAAGGGCGUGAUAAAGGCAGGCUGGCCGAACCUCCUUGCCCGGAGGAGGUCAGGUGAAAUUCCUACGGGCUGGCAAUCUGAACCCCCGCCUUCGGGGAGGCAGGUUGCGAGAUUUAAACGAAGGCUACGUACGUAGACGCGAGAGUGGAAUAUUCUCGGACGCGGGUUCGACUCCCGCCGCCUCCACCA
RNAcentral lists this transfer-messenger RNA (354 nucleotides) under Syntrophobacterales bacterium. It matches the Rfam family "transfer-messenger RNA". Rfam says of the family: Bacterial tmRNA, also known as 10Sa RNA or SsrA, is named for its dual tRNA and mRNA-like properties. Its role is to liberate the mRNA from a stalled ribosome. To accomplish this part of the tmRNA is used as a reading frame that ends in a translation stop signal. RNAcentral also lists the same sequence under 1 other name. The record is from RNAcentral. Lineage: Bacteria; Pseudomonadati; Thermodesulfobacteriota; Syntrophobacteria; Syntrophobacterales.